GAUGAAGAACGUAGCGAAAUGCGAUAAGUAAUGUGAAUUGCAGAAUUCAGUGAAUCAUCGAAUCUUUGAACGCACAUUGCGCCCGCCAGUAUUCUGGCGGGCAUGCCUGUUCGAGCGUCAUUUCAACCAUCAAGCCCCAGGCUUGUGUUGGGGACCUGCGGCUGCCGCAGGCCCUGAAAACCGGUGGCGGGCUCGCUGUCACACCGGGCGUAGUAGAUUUUAUCUCGCUCAGGGCGUGCUGCGGGUUCCGGCCGUUAAAAAGCCUUUUUUACCCAAGGUUGACCUCGGAUCAGGUAGGAAGACCCGCUGAACUUAAGCAUAUCAAUAAGCGGAGGA
This 336-nucleotide unclassified non-coding RNA is filed under the name soil metagenome. Its description in RNAcentral is "partial contains 5.8S ribosomal RNA, internal transcribed spacer 2, and large subunit ribosomal RNA". The stretch from base 1 to 120 matches the Rfam family "5.8S ribosomal RNA", at positions 35 to 154 of the family's 154-position model. The record is from RNAcentral.